Haemorhous mexicanus (house finch) is the source of this 1589-nucleotide long non-coding RNA. RefSeq lists it as uncharacterized. The transcript has 2 exons. NCBI's taxonomy places the organism in Eukaryota, Metazoa, Chordata, Aves, Passeriformes, Fringillidae. The record is from RefSeq and is a predicted model, not a curated record.
CAUGGGCGUGGGACGGGAGCGGAGCCUGGCCGGGCCGCUCCGGGCUCGCUCGGUACUCCCGGGUCACGGCCGGCUUCGGGCCGGCUGGGGCUGCAGGGAGUGGAUCAGGAGGGUGGUUACAAAAAGCUGGGAGGUGGAUCCUGGGAUGUGGCAGGUCUUCCUAGAAAGCUCUCUGUGCAUGAGACAAAACAGGGAGUCAUUCACAUCGGUUCUGCUUCUGUUUUACCACUAUUGCAGCCGGGUCUCCUACACCUGUCCCGUGCUUCUGGGAGUGGAUCAGCGCUGCAAUACCCGCUCAUCCUGAGAAUCCACUACAUAAAUCACGACAAGGACGUCACUAAGCAAGUUCUGUACAGUUCAGCUUAAGCUUGCCCUCCAGUCCCGUCUCUACCCUCGUGGCCUCCUUUGGAUGGUCUCUAGUAGCUUAAUGUCUUCUUAAUAUUGUGGUGCCCUAAACUGCACGCAAUACUCAAGGUGGGGUUGCACCAGUGCAGAGUAAAGCAGGACAAUCACCUCCCUUGACUGGCUGGCAAUGUUUUGCUUGAUGCACCCCAAGACAUGGUUGGCCCUCCUCGCUGCCUGGGCAUACUGUUGACUCAGUAGGAGCAGCUUGUACCUCAGUCUUUCCUGUUAGUCUCUAAAGCACAUAAUGCUGCUGAUAAGAUGUAAAGUAAACAGCCCUUGUGCUGCUGCCCUGCCAUGUGUCCAUCUAUCUCACAAGCAAAGAGGACAAAAUUUACAGGAGUGAUUAAAAUAAGAGCCUACUGGUUCGUGUUCUGUGUUCCACAGCACUGAAAGCCAGUGAAGGUGUCAGCAGAGUGAGAUCACUGAUCUUUGUGGCCUAAUGAGGCUUUGAGUCCCCUAUCUUGUGGCUUGAAUGAAUAGAAGUCCAGUCCAUUUCACUGUGGAAAGCAGCUGCAGGACUGCUGCUGAAACAAGGGGAAAUAAUCUAAUCCAUGUUCUUUAACUUAAUUGCUUUAAUACCUGUUUAAGUACCUUCCCAGCCUACAGGAAAGUAAAAUUUUUGAUUUGGUUCCUGUUCUGGUUUUGGCACAGAUCAGUGAGAGUGGGCAUGGCCAAUACCCUAAUAUUAUUUGAUACCACCUCAAAUCAUUGCUGAGGGCAGAGAAAAGAAAACUCACUUCUGAGGAGAAGAGGUUCCUUCUGGUGGGGGAAAGCAUGGUUGGGAAGAGCCAGAUGCAAAUUAAAAUGAAGUAUCUGUUCAAAAGAAGCACAGCUGCCUAAAUGCCAUAUGGGCUCUCAGAAAUGUAAUCUUUUGUGUGGCUGCAGACAAGCAGCUCAAUCGAGACAGAGCCAGCACCAGAUGAGGAACUGAAAUAACAGCCUUCACAACAAAGCCAAAAGGAAGAAGCCACAAGCUCAGUCAUCCCAUCCCAAGAAUUACUUGGGGAAUCUACCCAAAAGCCAGUCUGCCUCUGUAUCCUCCAAGAGCAAUCCCUCCAGAGUGAAGGAGACUCUUCUAAGUUGGAGACUGUCCUUUACCCAAAUAUGCCCCCGAGGGUGCGCAGUCACAGCUCUGCUCUAGGUACUGAAGCGUGCUAUCAAUCAAUAAACAAACGUCUUGCGCA